UACGUAGGGUGCAAGCGUUGUCCGGAAUUAUUGGGCGUAAAGAGCUCGUAGGCGGUUUGUCACGUCGGAUGUGAAAACCCGAGGCUUAACCUCGGGCCUGCAUUCGAUACGGGCUGACUAGAGUUCGGUAGGGGAGACUGGAAUUCCUGGUGUAGCGGUGAAAUGCGCAGAUAUCAGGAGGAACACCGGUGGCGAAGGCGGGUCUCUGGGCCGAUACUGACGCUGAGGAGCGAAAGCGUGGGGAGCAAACAGG
RNAcentral lists this ribosomal RNA (253 nucleotides) under uncultured bacterium. RNAcentral describes it as "partial 16S ribosomal RNA". It matches the Rfam family "Bacterial small subunit ribosomal RNA", at positions 524 to 776 of the family's 1533-position model. The record is from RNAcentral.